This 378-nucleotide unclassified non-coding RNA is filed under the name fungal sp. RNAcentral describes it as "partial internal transcribed spacer region". The stretch from base 1 to 46 matches the Rfam family "Eukaryotic small subunit ribosomal RNA", at positions 1786 to 1831 of the family's 1831-position model. Lineage: Eukaryota; Fungi. The record is from RNAcentral.
AAGUCGUAACAAGGUUUCCGUAGGUGAACCUGCGGAAGGAUGAUUAACACGUAUCCAAACGUAAAAAACCCCCCCCGUGAACAUUCAAUCCUGCUCUUGGAACCCGCGUAGUUCGCAAUCUCUGGUAAAUCAUAGCCCGAUUAAACUGUGGGGUUAUAAGGGGGCAUGGGGACCCUUUGGCAUAGCUCCUGCCCGAGUGUACGGUCUACAGGAAUCGUUGAAGCGCUAUCCUUGCACAAUCAGUGACACUUUCAGACACUAACUGCUUGGGGAAACAAUGCCUAUGAAACUACCGCUCGAUUGUACUUUCGUGAAGCUCAAUGUAAUACAUUGGGUAAAAAAACCGAACAACCGUUAACAAUGCAUAUCUUGGUUCUC